UGGGGAAUAUUGCACAAUGGGGAAGACCCUGAUGCAGCAACGCCGCGUGAAGGAAGACGGUUUUCGGAUUGUAAACUUCUGUUCUUAGUGAAGAAUAAUGACGGUAGCUAAGGAGCAAGCCACGGCUAACACGUGCCAGCAGCCGCGGUAAUACGUAGGUGGCAAGCGUUGUCCGGAAUUACUGGGUGUAAAGGGAGCGCAGGCGGGAGACCAAGUCAGCUGUGAAAACUACGGGCUUAACCUGUAGACUGCAGUUGAAACUGGUUUUCUUGAGUGAAGUAGAGGUUGGCGGAAUUCCGAGUGUAGCGGUGAAAUGCGUAGAUAUUCGGAGGAACACCGGUGGCGAAGGCGGCCAACUGGGCUUUAACUGACGCUGAGGCUCGAAAGUGUGGGGAGCAAACAGGAUUAGAUACCC
This 415-nucleotide ribosomal RNA is filed under the name uncultured bacterium. RNAcentral describes it as "bacterial SSU rRNA". It matches the Rfam family "Bacterial small subunit ribosomal RNA", at positions 355 to 787 of the family's 1533-position model. The record is from RNAcentral.